GAUGAACGCUGGCGGCGUGCCUAAUACGUGCAAGUCGAGCGAACGGACGAGAAGCUUGCUUCUCUGAUGUUAGCGGCGGACGGGUGAGUAACACGUGGAUAACCUACCUAUAAGACUGGGAUAACUUCGGGAAACCGGAGCUAAUACCGGAUAAUAUUUUGAACCGCAUGGUUCAAAAGUGAAAGACGGUCUUGCUGUCACUUAUAGAUGGAUCCGCGCUGCAUUAGCUAGUUGGUAAGGUAACGGCUUACCAAGGCAACGAUGCAUAGCCGACCUGAGAGGGUGAUCGGCCACACUGGAACUGAGACACGGUCCAGACUCCUACGGGAGGCAGCAGUAGGGAAUCUUCCGCAAUGGGCGAAAGCCUGGCGGAGCAACGCCGCGUGAGUGAUGAAGGUCUUCGGAUCGUAAAACUCUGUUAUUAGGGAAGAACAUAUGUGUAAGUAACUGUGCACAUCUUGACGGUACCUAAUCAGAAAGCCACGGCUAACUACGUGCCAGCAGCCGCGGUAAUACGUAGGUGGCAAGCGUUAUCCGGAAUUAUUGGGCGUAAAGCGCGCGUAGGCGGUUUUUUAAGUCUGAUGUGAAAGCCCACGGCUCAACCGUGGAGGGUCAUUGGAAACUGGAAAACUUGAGUGCAGAAGAGGAAAGUGGAAUUCCAUGUGUAGCGGUGAAAUGCGCAGAGAUAUGGAGGAGCACCAGUGGCGAAGGCGACUUUCUGGUCUGUAACUGACGCUGAUGUGCGAAAGCGUGGGGAUCAAACAGGAUUAGAUACCCUGGUAGUCCACGCCGUAAACGAUGAGUGCUAAGUGUUAGGGGGUUUCCGCCCCUUAGUGCUGCAGCUAACGCAUUAAGCACUCCGCCUGGGGAGUACGACCGCAAGGUUGAAACUCAAAGGAAUUGACGGGGACCCGCACAAGCGGUGGAGCAUGUGGUUUAAUUCGAAGCAACGCGAAGAACCUUACCAAAUCUUGACAUCCUUUGACAACUCUAGAGAUAGAGCCUUCCCCUUCGGGGGACAAAGUGACAGGUGGUGCAUGGUUGUCGUCAGCUCGUGUCGUGAGAUGUUGGGUUAAGUCCCGCAACGAGCGCAACCCUUAAGCUUAGUUGCCAUCAUUAAGUUGGGCACUCUAAGUUGACUGCCGGUGACAAACCGGAGGGAGGUGGGGAUGACGUCAAAUCAUCAUGCCCCUUAUGAUUUGGGCUACACACGUGCUACAAUGGACAAUACAAAGGGCAGCGAAACCGCGAGGUCAAGCAAAUCCCAUAAAGUUGUUCUCAGUUCGGAUUGUAGUCUGCAACUCGACUACAUGAAGCUGGAAUCGCUAGUAAUCGUAGAUCAGCAUGCUACGGUGAAUACGUUCCCGGGUCU
Molecule: ribosomal RNA, 1372 nt
Filed under: uncultured bacterium
Lineage: Bacteria
Description: bacterial SSU rRNA
Rfam family: Bacterial small subunit ribosomal RNA
Source: RNAcentral